GGGUUGUGAGGUUAAGCGACUAAGCGUACACGGUGGAUGCCCUGGCAGUCAGAGGCGAUGAAGGGCGUACUAAUCUGCGAUAAGCGCCGGUAAGGUGAUAUGAACCGUUAUAACCGGCGAUACCCGAAUGGGGAAACCCAGUGUGAUUCGUCACACUAUCAUUAACUGAAUCCAUAGGUUAAUGAGGCGAACCGGGGGAACUGAAACAUCUAAGUACCCCGAGGAAAAGAAAUCAACCGAGAUUCCCCCAGUAGCGGCGAGCGAACGGGGAGGAGCCCAGAGCCUGAAUCAGCAUGUGUGUUAGUGGAAGCGUCUGGAAAGGCGCGCGAUACAGGGUGACAGCCCCGUACACAAAAGCGCAUGUGCUGUGAGCUCGAUGAGUAGGGCGGGACACGUGGUAUCCUGUCUGAAUAUGGGGGGACCAUCCUCCAAGGCUAAAUACUCCUGACUGACCGAUAGUGAACCAGUACCGUGAGGGAAAGGCGAAAAGAACCCCGGCGAGGGGAGUGAAAAAGAACCUGAAACCGUGUACGUACAAGCAGUGGGAGCACCCUUUGGGUGUGACUGCGUACCUUUUGUAUAAUGGGUCAGCGACUUAUAUUCUGUA
Molecule: ribosomal RNA, 607 nt
Filed under: Salmonella enterica subsp. enterica serovar Enteritidis
Lineage: Bacteria; Pseudomonadati; Pseudomonadota; Gammaproteobacteria; Enterobacterales; Enterobacteriaceae
Description: partial 23S ribosomal RNA
Rfam family: Bacterial large subunit ribosomal RNA
Source: RNAcentral